RNAcentral lists this ribosomal RNA (260 nucleotides) under uncultured bacterium. RNAcentral's name for it is "partial 16S ribosomal RNA". It matches the Rfam family "Bacterial small subunit ribosomal RNA", at positions 94 to 354 of the family's 1533-position model. The record is from RNAcentral.
CGUGGCGGACGGGUGAGUAACGCGUGGGUAACCUGCCAUAUACAGGGGGAUAACACUUAGAAAUAGGUGCUAAUACCGCAUAAGCGCACAGGGGCGCAUGCCCCGGUGUGAAAAACUCCGGUGGUAUAUGAUGGACCCGCGUCUGAUUAGCCAGUUGGCAGGGUAACGGCCUACCAAAGCGACGAUCAGUAGCCGGCCUGAGAGGGCGGACGGCCACAUUGGGACUGAGACACGGCCCAAACUCCUACGGAAGGCAGCAG